GAUGAACGCUGGCGGCGUGCCUAAUACAUGCAAGUAGAACGCUGAAGGAAGGAGCUUGCUCUUUCCGGAUGAGUUGCGAACGGGUGAGUAACGCGUAGGUAACCUGCCUGGUAGCGGGGGAUAACUAUUGGAAACGAUAGCUAAUACCGCAUAACAGUAGAUGUUGCAUGAUAUCUACUUAAAAGGUGCAAUUGCACCACUACCAGAUGGACCUGCGUUGUAUUAGCUAGUUGGUGAGGUAACGGCUCACCAAGGCGACGAUACAUAGCCGACCUGAGAGGGUGAUCGGCCACAAUGGGACGGAGACACGGCCCAGACUCCUACGGGAGGCAGCAGUAGGGAAUCUUCGGCAAUGGACGGAAGUCUGACCGAGCAACGCCGCGUGAGUGAAGAAGGUUUUCGGAUCGUAAAGCUCUGUUGUAAGAGAAGAACGAGUGUGAGAGUGGAAAGUUCACACUGUGACGGUAUCUUACCAGAAAGGGACGGCUAACUACGUG
This 497-nucleotide ribosomal RNA is filed under the name uncultured bacterium. RNAcentral's name for it is "partial 16S ribosomal RNA". It matches the Rfam family "Bacterial small subunit ribosomal RNA", at positions 28 to 507 of the family's 1533-position model. The record is from RNAcentral.